GACGAACGCUGGCGGCGUGCUUAACACAUGCAAGUCGAACGGAAAGGCCCUGCUCUUGUUGGGUGCUCGAGUGGCGAACGGGUGAGUAACACGUGAGUAACCUGCCCUUGACUUUGGGAGGACUUCAGGAAACUGGGGCUCAUACCGGAUAGGAUCUCCUGCUGCAUGGGGGGGGUUGGAAAGUUUCGGCGGUUGGGGCUCUACUCGCGGGUUAUCAGCUUGUUUGUGGAGUAGUGGUGUACCAAGGCUUUGACGGGUAGCCUGCAUGAGAGGGUGGACGGGGACCAUGGGACUGCGGUACGGACCAGAAUGCUACGGGAGGCAGCAGUGGGGAAUAUUGCAGAGCAGGCGGAAGCCUGAUGUAGAGAUGCCGCGUGCGGGAAGCCGGGCUUCUGGUUGUAAACCGCUGUCGAAGGAGACGUGGCGUGAGUGACGGUAAUGGGUAAAAAAGCACCGGCUAACUACGUG
RNAcentral lists this ribosomal RNA (468 nucleotides) under uncultured bacterium. Its description in RNAcentral is "partial 16S ribosomal RNA". It matches the Rfam family "Bacterial small subunit ribosomal RNA", at positions 28 to 507 of the family's 1533-position model. The record is from RNAcentral.